ACGAGGGGUGCAAGCGUUACUCGGAAUUACUGGGCGUAAAGCGUGCGUAGGUGGUUCGUUAAGUCUGAUGUGAAAGCCCUGGGCUCAACCUGGGAAUGGCAUUGGAUACUGGCGACCUAGAGUGCGGUAGAGGGUGGCGGAAUUCCCGGUGUAGCAGUGAAAUGCGCAGAUAUCAGGAGGAACACCGGUGGCGAAGGCGGGUCUCUGGGCCGAUACUGACGCUGAGGAGCGAAAGCGUGGGGAGCGAACAGGA
This 253-nucleotide ribosomal RNA is filed under the name uncultured prokaryote. RNAcentral describes it as "partial 16S ribosomal RNA". It matches the Rfam family "Bacterial small subunit ribosomal RNA", at positions 525 to 777 of the family's 1533-position model. The record is from RNAcentral.